GGAUAAUCUGCCCUCAGGUGAGGAAUAAUCCCGGGAAACUGGGGCUAAUGCCUCAUAGGAGACGGGUGCUGGAAUGCUCUGUCUCCCAAAGGUCCGCCGCCUGAGGAUGAGUCUGCGUCCGAUUAGGUAGUUGUUGGGGUAACGGCCCAACAAGCCUUUGAUCGGUACGGGUUGUGGGAGCAAGAGCCCGGAGAUGGAUUCUGAGACAUGAAUCCAGGCCCUACGGGGCGCAGCAGGCGCGAAAACUUUACAAUGCGAGCAAUCGUGAUAAGGAAACCCUGAGUGCCUGUCAAUGCAGGCUGUUCUGGUGUCUAACACACACCAGGAGAAAGGGCGGGGCAAGACCGGUGCCAGCCGCCGCGGUAAUACCGGCUGCUCGAGUGAUAGCCACUUUUACUGGGCUUAAAGCGUUCGUAGCUUGGUCGUUAAGUCUCUGGGGAAAUCUUUUGGCUCAACCAAAAGGCGUCUCAGGGAAACUGGCGAUCUUGGAACCGGGAGAGGUAAGACGUACUUCGGGGGUAGGAGUGAAAUCUUGUAAUCCCCGAGGGACGACCGAUGGCGAAGGCAUCUUACCAGAACGGCUUCGACAGUGAGGGACGAAAGCUGGGGGAGCAAACCGGAUUAGAUACCCGGGUAGUCCCAGCCGUAAACGAUGUGCGUUAGGUGUGUCAGUGACCACGAGUCGCUGAGGUGCCGAAGGGAAACCGUGAAACGCACCGCCUGGGAAGUACGGUCGCAAGGCUGAAACUUAA
This 752-nucleotide ribosomal RNA is filed under the name Methanocalculus sp. enrichment culture clone A4-3. Its description in RNAcentral is "bacterial SSU rRNA". It matches the Rfam family "Archaeal small subunit ribosomal RNA", at positions 102 to 859 of the family's 1478-position model. Lineage: Archaea; Methanobacteriati; Methanobacteriota; Methanomicrobia; Methanomicrobiales; Methanocalculaceae. The record is from RNAcentral.